This 279-nucleotide ribosomal RNA is filed under the name uncultured bacterium. RNAcentral's name for it is "partial 16S ribosomal RNA". It matches the Rfam family "Bacterial small subunit ribosomal RNA", at positions 506 to 784 of the family's 1533-position model. The record is from RNAcentral.
UGCCAGCAGCCGCGGUAAUACGGAGGGUGCAAACGUUGCUCGGAAUCAUUGGGCGUAAAGCGCGUGUAGGCGGCACGCUAAGUCGAGUGUGAAAGCCCUGGGCUCAACCCAGGAAGUGCGCUCGAUACUGGCGAGCUAGAGUACGGGAGAGGGUAGCGGAAUUCCCGGUGUAGAGGUGAAAUUCGUAGAUAUCGGGAGGAACACCAGUGGCGAAGGCGGCUACCUGGACCGAUACUGACGCUGAGACGCGAAAGCGUGGGUAGCAAACAGGAUUAGAUA